GACGAACGCUGGCGGCGUGCUUAACACAUGCAAGUCUAACGGAAAGGCCCUGCUUUUGUGGGGUGCUCGAGUGGCGAACGGGUGAGUAACACGUGAGUAACCUGCCCUUGACUUUGGGAUAACUUCAGGAAACUGGGGCUAAUACCGGAUAGGAGCUCCUGCUGCAUGGUGGGGGUUGGAAAGUUUCGGCGGUUGGGGAUGGACUCGCGGCUUAUCAGCUUGUUGGUGGGGUAGUGGCUUACCAAGGCUUUGACGGGUAGCCGGCCUGAGAGGGUGACCGGCCACAUUGGGACUGAGAUACGGCCCAGACUCCUACGGGAGGCAGCAGUGGGGAAUAUUGCACAAUGGGCGGAAGCCUGAUGCAGCAACGCCGCGCGCGGGAUGACGGCCUUCGGGUUGUAAACCGCUUUCGCCUGUGACGAAGCGUGAGUGACGGUAAUGGGUAAAGAAGCACCGGCUAACUACGUGCCAGCAGCCGCGGCGAUACGUAGGGUGCGAGCGUUGUCCGGAUUUAUUGGGCGUAAAGGGCUCGUAGGUGGUUGAUCGCGUCGGAAGUGUAAUCUUGGGGCUUAACCCUGAGCGUGCUUUCGAUACGGGUUGACUUGAGGAAGGUAGGGGAGAAUGGAAUUCCUGGUGGAGCGGUGGAAUGCGCAGAUAUCAGGAGGAACACCAGUGGCGAAGGCGGUUCUCUGGGCCUUUCCUGACGCUGAGGAGCGAAAGCGUGGGGAGCGAACAGGCUUAGAUACCCUGGUAGUCCACGCUGUAAACGGUGGGUACUAGGUGUGGGGUCCAUUCCACGGGUUCCGUGCCGUAGCUAACGCUUUAAGUACCCCGCCUGGGGAGUACGGCCGCAAGGCUAAAACUCAAAGGAAUUGACGGGGCCCCGCACAAGCGGCGGAGCAUGCGGAUUAAUUCGAUGCAACGCGUAGAACCUUACCUGGGUUUGACAUGGAUCGGGAGUGCUCAGAGAUGGGUGUGCCUCUUUUGGGGUCGGUUCACAGGUGGUGCAUGGCUGUCGUCAGCUCGUGUCGUGAGAUGUUGGGUUAAGUCCCGCAACGAGCGCAACCCUUGUUCACUGUUGCCAGCACGUUAUGGUGGGGACUCAGUGGAGACCGCCGGGGUCAACUCGGAGGAAGGUGGGGAUGACGUCAAGUCAUCAUGCCCCUUAUGUCCAGGGCUUCACGCAUGCUACAAUGGCUGGUACAGAGAGUGGCGAGCCUGUGAGGGUGAGCGAAUCUCGGAAAGCCGGUCUCAGUUCGGAUUGGGGUCUGCAACUCGACCUCAUGAAGUCGGAGUCGCUAGUAAUCGCAGAUCAGCAACGCUGCGGUGAAUACGUUCCCGGG
This 1343-nucleotide ribosomal RNA is filed under the name uncultured bacterium. Its description in RNAcentral is "16S ribosomal RNA". It matches the Rfam family "Bacterial small subunit ribosomal RNA", at positions 28 to 1378 of the family's 1533-position model. The record is from RNAcentral.